Cyprinus carpio carpio is the source of this 379-nucleotide long non-coding RNA. The record is from Ensembl. Lineage: Eukaryota; Metazoa; Chordata; Actinopteri; Cypriniformes; Cyprinidae.
UUUGAGAGUCGGAGGUCAAUUUGGAGGUCUUCAAAGAGACAGUAUCCUUCAUUGCCCAUGGGACAGGAAGCGUUCGGUAGGUAAACCCAAGAGUCUGUGUGGGCCAGGAGGACCUCACGGAAAGCAGCCUGCCUGCUCCUGUCUCUCUCUGCAAGCAGCCAUGUUUAACAGUCUCUUCCCCUGAAGUCAUUACCCAAAUUUGAUGAGGAGCUGUCUGACAAAUCUCUACACUGGUCAAAAGAAUCUGUCCAACCACAACGCCACAUUUCUCCAGCCCACCACAGAUUUCUGAGGACUGUCCAUGCCUACAGACUUUUUUUUUUAAUCCUUUUCAUUUCUCUUGCCUUUUUCUCUGUGGUUCAACAUUCAUGUAAUCUAA